GGCGUGAUGGCGCGGAGGG
This 19-nucleotide unclassified non-coding RNA is filed under the name Chlamydomonas reinhardtii. Its description in RNAcentral is "small RNA Cre_1869". Lineage: Eukaryota; Viridiplantae; Chlorophyta; Chlorophyceae; Chlamydomonadales; Chlamydomonadaceae. The record is from RNAcentral.